UCACUCUGUCACCAGUCAUCCCUUCCUUCCCUCACUCUGCCACUAUUCAUCCCUUCCCUCACUCUGUCACCAGUCAUCCCCUCACACUGUCACUGUGAAGGAAGGAAGGGGUGACUGGUGACAGAGUGAGGGAAUGACUGGUGACAGAGUGAGAGAGGGGGUGACUAGUGACCGAGUGAGGGAGGGAGAGGGUGACUAGUGACAGAGUGAGGAAGGGGGUGACACAGUGAUAGUCACCCCAUUCUUCCCUCUGUCACUAAUCACCACCUCCCUCACUCUCACUAGUCACCCCAUCCCUCCCUCACUCUGUCACUAGUCACACCCUCCCUCUCUCUGUCACUAGUCACACCCUUACUCACUGUCACUAGUCACACCCUCCCUCUCUCUGUCACUAGAGUGA
Pelobates cultripes (western spadefoot toad) is the source of this 400-nucleotide non-coding RNA. The record is from the annotation of a GenBank genome assembly. Lineage: Eukaryota; Metazoa; Chordata; Amphibia; Anura; Pelobatidae.